Molecule: ribosomal RNA, 253 nt
Filed under: uncultured bacterium
Lineage: Bacteria
Description: partial 16S ribosomal RNA
Rfam family: Bacterial small subunit ribosomal RNA
Source: RNAcentral
UACGUAGGGGGCAAGCGUUGUCCGGAAUCAUUGGGCGUAAAGAGCGUGUAGGCGGCCAGAAAAGUCCGCUGUGAAAACUCGAGGCUCAACUUCGAGCUGUCGGUGGAAACUUUCUGGCUAGAGUCCGGAAGAGGAGAAUGGAAUUCCUGGUGUAGCGGUGAAAUGUGCAGAUAUCAGGAAGAACACCCGUGGCGAAGGCGGUUCUCUGGGACGGUACUGACGCUGAGACGCGAAAGCGUGGGGAGCGAACAGG